Camellia sinensis is the source of this 263-nucleotide non-coding RNA. The record is from RefSeq and is a predicted model, not a curated record. NCBI's taxonomy places the organism in Eukaryota, Viridiplantae, Streptophyta, Magnoliopsida, Ericales, Theaceae.
AACCAGGGUCGUGGCUAUCCGACACUCCAAUCAACUUGGUGGUGGUGCAAUUGACUAAUCGACAGAGGGAUUUACACAAUGACGGGAGGCACACUGAUUGGUUCUUUCCCGUAUAUCUGUCGACUAUGAUUCUAAAUAAAGAUAUGCAACCUCUGGACCAUGAACAUAUCGUCACAUCAUUUUUCGGACAUGACAGAUACACUGGUGCGAUUGAUGCAUGCCAGAGGAUUUACAUGCCUUUCAAUUAUAGAGGAGUGCAUUGG